GCUGGGGAGCUGUGUCCUGGAGGCGGGUAAUUAACAAAGUCAGAUAUCGCCGGGAGGUCAGAAAGGACAAAAACUAAGGGAAAAACCAUGGGGUUUGGCCAGAAGAGAGUCACGAAGGCCUGGUUGAGACGUUUCAACAGAAUUGCGGGGGCGGGAGGCAGCGUUAAAGGGAAGAGGAGAUGGAGGCAUGGAGCUCCGGCCACAGUGUGGAGGAUUUUGGCAGCAACAGGAACAGGAAAGUCUGGAAAUCAGCUAGCAAUGAGGAGAGUCCAGCGUGAGUUUCUGAGUCUGUGUCUUGUCCGUAUUCCAACCCAGCAGCUUCCGGCCGCCUCUCCACAUCCCCCCGCCACAGUUUCCGCUGCUUAUUUUUCAAUCCCGAGUAUUUCUUCAACCGCAGAGGACAGAUGUGGCUUUAAAUGAUAAGCACUUCACCCAGAGCCUGGCACAUAAGACGCCCUCAGGUGUGUUUGCACGAUACUUCAUUGUCAGCGAGCACUUUCACGUUCGCGAUCUCAUCUGAGUCUGACCAGAAUCAUUUGAGGGGAAAAGGAAGAAAUGUUGGAAUGAGGCAAAAGCAGAGAGGAUGACUUGUUUAAAAGUGUGGGUGGGAGAUAAUCUUCCUGUAUGGGCAGCAGGGAAUCUCCACCAGGAUGCCACAAAACCUUCAGCAAAAUCUACAUUAUUGGGCAACUCUUUUUUAAAAUUUAUUUUUAUUGAGGUAACACUGAUACACAGUAAUAUUUGUUUCAUGUGUACAACAUUAUAUUUUGACUUCUGUAUACACUACAGUGUGCUCACCAUCAUAAAUUUAGUUUCUGUCUGUCACCAUUUAGUUGACUCCGUUUACCCAUUUUGCCCUCUGCCUAACCUUGUCCCCUUUGGUAACCAGUAUUCUGUCAUCUAUAUUUAUGUGUUUGUUUUUGUUGGUUUGGCUUAUUCAUUCAUUUUGGGGUUUUUUGUUUGUUUGUAUUCAUUUUUUUCUGUUCCACAU
Molecule: long non-coding RNA, 991 nt
Organism: Camelus dromedarius (Arabian camel)
Lineage: Eukaryota; Metazoa; Chordata; Mammalia; Artiodactyla; Camelidae
Exons: 3
Source: RefSeq, a predicted model, not a curated record